Molecule: transfer RNA, 76 nt
Filed under: Pseudoalteromonas carrageenovora
Lineage: Bacteria; Pseudomonadati; Pseudomonadota; Gammaproteobacteria; Alteromonadales; Pseudoalteromonadaceae
Also listed under: 328 other names
Description: tRNA-Val
Rfam family: tRNA
About the family: Transfer RNA (tRNA) molecules are approximately 80 nucleotides in length. Their secondary structure includes four short double-helical elements and three loops (D, anti-codon, and T loops). Further hydrogen bonds mediate the characteristic L-shaped molecular structure. tRNAs have two regions of fundamental functional importance: the anti-codon, which is responsible for specific mRNA codon recognition, and the 3' end, to which the tRNAs corresponding amino acid is attached (by aminoacyl-tRNA synthetases). tRNAs cope with the degeneracy of the genetic code in two manners: having more than one tRNA (with a specific anti-codon) for a particular amino acid; and 'wobble' base-pairing, i.e. permitting non-standard base-pairing at the 3rd anti-codon position.
Source: RNAcentral
GGGUGAUUAGCUCAGUUGGGAGAGCAUCGCCCUUACAAGGCGAGGGUCACUGGUUCAAGUCCAGUAUCACCCACCA